GACGAACGCUGGCGGCGUGCCUAAUACAUGCAAGUUGAGCGCUGAAGGUUGGUACUUGUACCGACUGGAUGAGCAGCGCACGGGUGAGUAACGCGUGGGGAAUCUGCCUUUGAGCGGGGGACAACAUUUGGAAACGAAUGCUAAUACCGCAUAAAAACUUUAAACACAAGUUUUAAGUUUGAAAGAUGCAAUUGCAUCACUCAAAGAUGAUCCCGCGUUGUAUUAGCUAGUUGGUGAGGUAAAGGCUCACCAAGGCGAUGAUACAUAGCCGACCUGAGAGGGUGAUCGGCCACAUUGGGACUGAGACACGGCCCAAACUCCUACGGGAGGCAGCAGUAGGGAAUCUUCGGCAAUGGACGAAAGUCUGACCGAGCAACGCCGCGUGAGUGAAGAAGGUUUUCGGAUCGUAAAACUCUGUUGGUAGAGAAGAACGGUGGUGGGAGUGGAAAGCUCAUCAAGUGACGGUAACUACCCAGAAAGGGACGGCUAACUACGUG
This 497-nucleotide ribosomal RNA is filed under the name uncultured bacterium. RNAcentral's name for it is "partial 16S ribosomal RNA". It matches the Rfam family "Bacterial small subunit ribosomal RNA", at positions 28 to 507 of the family's 1533-position model. The record is from RNAcentral.